UUUCCUGCCAGCCUAUUUUUGCCUCAGCAGUCAAUGGAAACAACUAUGUGUGUCCACAAUGCAAGGAAUGCUUUAGCUCCGUUGAUCAAACUUAAGAACUCACUGAUUCCCCAAGAAUAUAUUAGUGGAACUCCAGAGACCUCCAAUCUCCAGUCUAAGCAGUCCUGCUUUGGGCCAUUUGAUUUAUCAUACGUACAUAUCAGGAAUUUGCUGACAGUGAAAUGGAAGUUAAGGAUACAAGGAAGAUAGAGCGUAGCAUCAAAGGCAUCUGCCAACCCCUUCCCAGGUUACAGAGCUUGCACUGCGGCACGGAAAGAAUAUUCACGUCCUGACUUCAUAUUCUACCGGAGAAAGAAGGCCGCACGAGAAAUUCUCCUGCUGCUAACUGAAAGGAACUUUUCACCUUAUUAGAAUGUUUAAUGUCAAAACUUCAAAGAGAGAACCAACAGUCCCAUCUGAGCCCAGCCUGAGUCAGUUUCCCUCUAUCCCUGAAAUUUCAGUGUCUGAGAGGAAUCCGAGCAGAUGUGGCAUUACAUAAGAUCACCCAGGAAAUAAUGUGAUAUUCUGAAUGCCACUAAUGUUCCUUAAAAUGUUAUUUUUUAAAAAGAUCCUCAAGUUCCAAGAUAUCUUCCAAAAAAAGAGAAACUAGAGAAAGACCCAAGUAAAGCCAUUGUCAAUUCUUCUCCAUCUCAAUGGAGGUGUUGUUUUGCUCCACUCCGGAUGCACUGUUAUAAUUAACUGCAUGAUAUA
Molecule: long non-coding RNA, 750 nt
Organism: Cervus elaphus (red deer)
Lineage: Eukaryota; Metazoa; Chordata; Mammalia; Artiodactyla; Cervidae
Exons: 5
Source: RefSeq, a predicted model, not a curated record